Molecule: non-coding RNA, 1061 nt
Organism: Nicotiana tabacum (common tobacco)
Lineage: Eukaryota; Viridiplantae; Streptophyta; Magnoliopsida; Solanales; Solanaceae
Source: RefSeq, a predicted model, not a curated record
AAUUACUACAGAUGAUUCUCUUUAAUCCUUUAUUUUCGAUUUCUUGCUCACCAUCCGAUAUUUGUAUAGGGGCUUGAUUAAAUAUGAUUAGCGCCGAAAAGUGUUGUAUUGGGAGUAAACUCUGUUGUUACUGAUCGGUCAAGCUCCAAUACUCCCUCCUAGGGGACUCGAAAAUAACUCCAGAGUUAGGAUGCUGUUAUACGCCAUACAGUUCUUAUAUUACUUCUUGCUGCUUUUAUCAGAACCAAAUAAGCAAUAGCAACAAACCUUCCUGUCAAUUGCUCGAAAUCUCUAUGAAGCAAAUCACGACUGACAUGACUUCGUAUGUAGUGCUGACGCAGAGCCUGUGAGUGAAUUUGCAAAUUCUCAAAAGCUUUCCAAAUAAAUGUCUUGUAAGGUGUCUGCAAUUUCAAAUAAAAGCAAGAAAAAAGAUACAUCAUCUGAAUCUGAAGAUGACGAGGUAAAUAGUAAUGAGGAGAGUGACAACUAUCAAGAACAAUAUAGCGAACAAAUUACGUCUUUCAGCAGAGAUCAAGGAAAGGAUGCUGCCAAAGCUACAACAACUAAAAAGGGCAAGGGCAGUGGAAUUGACCUCAUCGGCAAAUAAAAGCUCCCACUGAAGGGAAAAUAUUGACUUUGUACGCUUCAGAUUGUCUUCACUUCAUUAUGUUUAUUCUCCUGCAUCGUUUAAUGUUGUUGAUGAACUCCUAAUAAUUUUUUUUCCCUAGCUCCUAAUAUUUUUUUGGCGCUGUGGGUAAAGUAAACACUUUGAACAGUUUAAUAUAAAGAACACACUUAAUACAUUCUAAAGGAUGCAUACUGACCUUGUCCUUGUACAAUGACCAUUUAACUUCUAUUUGUCCAUUAUGAUAAUUGAUUUCAUUUACAGUUUACUUAAAUUAUUUAAAAUUCCUCCUUACAUUAUCUCUUUCUUUUGAUGCACCGAAGCUUUCAAUAAUGGUCUGUCAUGUUAAGCACCACAAAGUGUAGAACUAUCUGCUGACUAUCUUUCUCACAAUUGAAACUUGAUUUAACGUUUCUAUUCGCAGCUUCCAAAAGGA